CAAUGCUCCAUUUUCCCUCUGUGUAGUUUGUCCAGCCUUCGCCGCUGUGGCCUCAGGCCUCUGGAGCCUUGACUGUGAGUGCUUCUAGUUCCCUACAAUAAAGAGCACUUAAAUUUUAUAGCUCAAAGCAGAUCCACCGAAGACCGGAGCUACCGUCUAACAUCCGCCCUGACAAAAAAAAACCCUAAACCAUUCCUCCACUCUACUCUCUUUUUUUUUUCUUCGACGAUCAAUCGAUCAUGGAGUCUCCUUCUCUCCUCCCGCUUCCUGGGGAUUCCAAUGAACUACGAAAUACAAUAUGCAAUGCCCAUGUUGGUAUUUCCUGUGGAUUAGAUUGCGAAAUAGGGUCCUCUAGUUUACAAACCCAAUACAAGAAAAGAAGAAUAUCUCCAAACAAUGAUAAAUCAUAUGAACUUUUAAAAAAGGUUGAAUCUUCAUUACCCAUAUUGCACUCAACAGAUUAUUAUAUGGAACCUGCCUUGACUGAUUUGGCUGCCCAAGAGCUCGUGGAUCCUGGUUAUUGCAGCCGAGUUCCAGAUUUCACUGUUGGGAGAUUAGGUUAUGGACGUGUCAAGUUUCUUGGCAUGACUGAUAUUAGGGGGUUGGAUUUGGAUCAGAUUGUGAAGUUUCAUAGGCAUGAAAUAGUAGUUUAUAAAGAUGAAACUGCUAAGCCUCCAGUUGGACAAGGCCUUAACAAGCCUUCUGAAGUGACUUUGACUCUACAGAUAAGAAUAUCAGAUUUCCAUGAAGGGCGGGUCAAAAAUUUUGUGGAGAAAUUGAGGGGGAGUACAGAGAGACAGGGGGCUUAUUUCAUUUCAUUUGACCCAGCAAUUAGUGAAUGGAAGUUCUCAGUUCGCCAUUUCAGCAGAUUUGGAUUGAGUGAUGAUGAUGAGGAAGAUAUUAUAAUGGAUGAUGUUGUAGCAGUUGAAGAACGAGUUGAGAUGAAUGCUGGUGAGACUUCAGAGACAAAUGAAGAAACCCAAUUGGAAUUAGAACCCACUGGAACAAUGCUUUAUCAUUCUCUUCCAGCACAUCUUGGCCUUGAUCCAGUAAAGAUGAAAGAGAUGAGGAUGCUGAUGUUUCCAGCAGAGGAAGAUGAGGAGGCUGGGAGUUACAAUGGCCCUUCACUUCAUAAGCUGUCCUCUAGUAAGGAACAUGCAAGACAUCCUUUAUUGAAUUCUGCUCAGAAAAUGAGCCAUAGAUCUAGCAUUCCUGUUGCAAGGAAAACACCAUUGGGUCUGCUUGAGUACAAUCCUGGUAGUUUUGAUUCUAGUUCCCCUGGAACCAUUUUGAUGACCCAACAAAAUAAGGGCCUGCCUUUAAAGGCAAUGAGGGGAGAAGGAUUUAGGCUGGACCUGAAGCAUGAGACACCAAUAACUGGAAGCCAUUCUCGCAACAUAGUUGAUGCUGGUUUGUUCAUGGGUAGGUCAUUUCGUGUAGGUUGGGGUCCAAAUGGUGUCCUUGUUCACCCUGGUGCCCCUGUUGGAUUUAAUGGUUCUCAAAGGUUGUUAGCUUCUGUAAUUAAUGUAGAGAAGGUUGCAAUAGACAGAGUAGUCAGAGAUGAAAAUAAUAACACCAAAAAGGAUCUAGUUGAGUUUGCUUUUGACUCCCCUUUGAAUCUCCACAAAACAAUAAAUCAUGAAACAAAAGAAGUUGAAGUUGGUUCCUUUAAACUAAAGCUCCAAAAAGUUCUUUCUAAUCGCUUAAUACUUUCAGAGAUUUGUCGGAGUUACAUAGACAUCAUUGAAAAGCAGCUGGAGGUUCCAGGGCUUCCGUCAUCUGCACGUUUGGUUUUGAUGCAUCAAGUGAUGAUCUGGGAAUUGAUUAAAGUUCUUUUUUCUGAAAGGGAAAAUAGUGGACAGUCAAAAUCUGUGGGUGAUGAUAAUGAGGAAGACAUGGUGCAGGAUAUGAGGGAAGUUUCUUUGGAAAUUGACCAGGAAUCACUUCCUCUUAUCCGAAGAGCAGAGUUCAGUUGUUGGUUGCAAGAAAGUGUCUGUCAUCGUGUCCAAGAGGAAGUGAGCUCUCUGAAUGAUUCCAAUUACCUUGAACACAUUUUCUCACUCUUGACUGGGCGACAACUGGAUGGAGCUGUGGAAAUGGCUGUUUCUAAAGGAGAUGUUAGACUAGCUUGUUUGUUGAGUCAAGCUGGUGGGUCUACAGUAAACCGUGCUGAUGUUGCACGGCAGCUUGAUCUUUGGAGGAUCAAUGGGCUAGAUUUCAAAUUCAUUGAAAAGGAAAGAAUAAGGCUGUAUGAGUUGCUUUCUGGUAAUGUUCAUGAUGCAUUAAAUGAUGUUAAAAUUGACUGGAAGAGGUUCUUAGGAUUAUUGAUGUGGUAUCGGCUAGCACCUCACACAUCUUUGCCCAUUAUUUUUCAGACAUACCAGCACCUUCUUGAUGACGAUAGGGCUCCAUAUCCUCUUCCCAUUUACAUUGAUGAAGGACCAGUAGAAGUGGCUGUAAAUUUCACAGGGAGACACUUCGAUCUCGCAUAUUAUCUUAUGCUUCUUCAUGCAAAUGGAGAGGGUGAAUUUGGUUUUCUGAAGACCAUGUUUAGUGCCUUCUCUUCGACAAAUGACCCACUUGACUACCAUAUGAUCUGGCAUCAGCGAGCAGUGUUGGAAGCUAUUGGUGUUUUAUCCUCUAAUGAUCUUCAAGUUCUUGACAUGGGAUUUGUUUCACAGCUGUUGUGUAUUGGGCAAUGUCAUUGGGCUGUCUAUGUGGUCCUUCACAUGCCAUACCGUGAUGAUUAUCCAUAUCUCCAAGCUACCCUUAUUCGGGAAAUUUUGUUUCAGUACUGCGAAACUUGGAGUUCAGAUGAGUCACAACACCAAUUUAUUGAGAACCUUGACAUUCCUCGGUCAUGGUUGCAUGAAGCUAUGGCAGUUUACUUCAGUUACAAUGGGGAUCUCUUCAAGGCCCUGGAACACUAUCUUGAAUGUGAAAAUUGGCAAAAGGCUCAUUAUAUUUUUAUAACUUCAGUUUCCCAUAAAUUGUUUUUAUCAGCUAACCACUCAGAGAUAUGGAGGCUUGCAACUUCAAUGGAGGACCACAAAUCUGAAAUUGAAAACUGGGACUUGGGAGCUGGAAUUUAUAUAUCAUUCUAUCUCAUAAGAAGUUCAUUGCAAGAAAACAAUAAUACAAUGAGUGAACUGGUGAGAAAGUGUAUUCUGAAUAUUAAUGCUACAGCCCAUAGCAUGUAGUCUAUCAUCUACAUUACUAUCUUGUAUCAAGAUUUAAAGUAGCCAAUGCCGAUUAAAUUGGACUCUCAAUUAAGUUAUGCUGUUGCCUUUGCUUAGAAGCAAUAGUUGCACGUUAAAUAUGUUUUAUCAAAUGCAAUUCAAUCCUGACAGUCAAAUGGGUAUGACUUUCUAUGAAUUUUCUUAAAGAUUUCAAUAGGGCAUUAGUGCAUCAACAGUUUUCCCUCUAUAUGAAUUUUUACAGAGCGAUACUUCUAAAUUGGCUAUUUGCUCAUGCACAGAGUUGCUUUUCCUUCUUACUAGACUAGCAUGUCAGAAUUCUCCAACAGGAAGCACAACAGACUUUAAUCUUGAUGCAAGGUGUCAUUUUAAUAAAAAAAACAAUGAAAGUAAUAAAUCAUUUUAAAGCCUGUUUAGUAAUGGAAGAUAUGACUCGAUGUUUUUGCUUUUAAUAGUGUUUUGAAUUAUUUUUUAUGAUGGGUAUUGAAAAGGCCUGUGGAAGCUCUAAAUAUGUAAUCUUAUUCUUCCUUCGCUUUCUAUUAUGAGUGUUAAAGAACAUGCAGCAUCUUUUGCAGGAUUCUCUUGAGAACAAAAGUUCUACCUGUAGAGACUUCCUUGGUCACCUGAAUGAAUCUGUGGCAGUUUUUGCUGAUCGAUUACCAAUUGAUGCAAGGGUAGCAUACUCAAAGAUGGCAGAGGAGAUCAGUGAAUUGCUUCUAUCUGAUAUUAGCGAGGGCUCCACACGUGAUGCUCAGUUAAGUUGCUUUGACACAGUGUUUAAUGCACCAGUUCUGGAAGACCUCCGCUCAAAUCAUCUGCAAGAUGCUGUGUCGCUCUUUACAUUAUAUCUUUCAGAGAUUGCCACUUAGUCUGUAUGCCUUCUGCUGUGGAUUACAAAUUCAUAAUUUACAGCAUUCAAAAGUACAGCACUUCUGUUGUAAACUUGCUCUUGUAACCACGUUUAAAUCUUUUUAUAGCCGAAACAGGCAUUGAUCGAGCUGUAUGAAAAAUUUUGACUCCAAAAGCAAGAGUGAAGUUGCGUGCCAUUGUGUCAUUUCUGAGGAACCCUUAAUUUUGU
Molecule: unclassified non-coding RNA, 4275 nt
Filed under: Hevea brasiliensis (rubber tree)
Lineage: Eukaryota; Viridiplantae; Streptophyta; Magnoliopsida; Malpighiales; Euphorbiaceae
Source: RNAcentral